GGCUAAAAAACUCCGAGUGCACCGUAUUUCGUAUGUUGCAUAAAUAAUUUUUUUUAACCC
RNAcentral lists this transfer RNA (60 nucleotides) under Montipora digitata (finger coral). Its description in RNAcentral is "tRNA-Arg". The record is from RNAcentral. Lineage: Eukaryota; Metazoa; Cnidaria; Anthozoa; Scleractinia; Acroporidae. RNAcentral also lists the same sequence under 1 other name.